Molecule: ribosomal RNA, 490 nt
Filed under: uncultured bacterium
Lineage: Bacteria
Description: partial 16S ribosomal RNA
Rfam family: Bacterial small subunit ribosomal RNA
Source: RNAcentral
AUUGAACGCUGGCGGCAGGCCUAACACAUGCAAGUCGAAUGGUAACAGGAAACAGCUUGCUGUUUCGCUGACGAGUGGCGGACGGGUGAGUAAUGUCUGGGAAACUGCCUGAUGGAGGGGGAGAACUACUGGAAACGGUAGCUAAUACCGCAUAACGUCGCAAGACCAAAGAGGGGGACCUUCGGGCCUCUUGCCAUCAGAUGUGCCCAGAUGGGAUUAGCUAGUAGGUGGGGUAACGGCUCACCUAGGCGACGAUCCCUAGCUGGUCUGAGAGGAUGACCAGCCACACUGGAACUGAGACACGGUCCAGACUCCUACGGGAGGCAGCAGUGGGGAAUAUUGCACAAUGGGCGCAAGCCUGAUGCAGCCAUGCCGCGUGUAUGAAGAAGGCCUUCGGGUUGUAAAGUACUUUCAGCGGGGAGGAAGGGAGUAAAGUUAAUACCUUUGCUCAUUGACGUUACCCGCAGAAGAAGCACCGGCUAACUCCGUG